UAGGACGAGGCCUUUUUUCUUGACAUUCCAGAUGCCGCGCUAGAAGCUUUAAAUUUUGAACAAGAUGGAAGUCAAAACCACCCAAUAGGUUUUCCUGAAAUUACAGACGAAGACUUAUCAAGCGUUAUUCCUCAAGAAGAAAUGUUGAAGGGGAGCGCGCUUAAAGGGGCCAAGAAACUUCCCUCUGAGGCAGCUGCAG
Gopherus evgoodei (Goodes thornscrub tortoise) is the source of this 199-nucleotide long non-coding RNA. RefSeq lists it as uncharacterized. Lineage: Eukaryota; Metazoa; Chordata; Testudines; Testudinidae. The transcript is spliced from 3 exons. The record is from RefSeq and is a predicted model, not a curated record.